AGUCCACCCUCUACAGGGGUGGACUGAGCACUUACUUUUAUCAUGAUCAAUUGGUAUAUUAUAAAUAAGAGACAAAAGUAUACCAUUCACUCAAAAUAGUGACAGAUUUUUUCCUAACAUAUUCUCAUUCUUAACAUUACAAAAGCCCAUCUCCUUGCCCAUGGGAAUUCCUGCAGCACAGGCGGUCAUCAACACAUUAGUCUGCUUUGUCUGUACUAAAACCUCUUCAAAAUAUAUAUGUGAAGCCUUUGCCCCCACCCUCAUGAGAAGACCUGCUCAUAGGGAGGAGUCCACACAAAUGAGCUCUGUGCAAGGGAUUCCUGUUUGCCCAGCCCCAGCAGUGGAGCAUCAGUUUCCUUCUGUAAAUAUCAGCUUUUAAAAAAUACUGGUUUUCAGAAAAUAAAUGACUAGUGCAUAGAAGCAGGUGUCUUUACACAGAGAAUCGACAGGCUGUAAUUUAGCUAAGCUGCCUGCAGCCUCCUUCCAAGAUCCUAGAAAUUUAGGUUGAGGAACUACAGUCUACCAGAGGAAGAAGAACCCUUCCUAGUGGAAAAGCAGUUUUAAAUGUAGGCACAAGGUUCGUGUGACUUACCAAUUGCAAAACCAACUCCAAAGUUCGGAGCUAUGAGUCCAUAAAUGUUUUUUGCAAAUGGAAUCUGUAAGAGGAAAUAAAUGUUAUGCUAAAAUAACAAGAGAUCCAACUCUAAAUCAUCUCGGAAAGUCUUGAACUUGUGUUUUCUCUGGGCGUGGUAUGCCUGUUCCCUUCUGAAGAAAACAGGAGGAAGGGUGGGGUUUGUGAAGAACCAGACCCUCCAAAUCUUUAAAAGUCAAAGCUUGAAACGAGUUUUAUGACCACCAUGAAAAACUUGUCACCGGCAUAUGUGAAAGAUCAGCCUAGUCCACCCUCAAGUUUUGACAAGAACAAGUAGGCCUCAUGAGGGAUGGAUAUUGGCCAUUGGUAGAAGAGAUUUUAUUCUAGAAAAACAUCUUGCUAUUGUUUCAGGUUGGUUGUCCUGAAGUGUUUAAGACACUGUCAAGCUUAAGAUGAUGCAGGGGAAAAGUUAAACUGUGAAAUAAAACAUUUUAAAUAAUUUCUGACAUAAAAUGAAAAUGCACUCCUUGGAAAGUCUUGUCCAAACAUUUUUAAGAUGAUAAAAAAUUAGAAUAAAAUGAAAGCUGUAAUAAAAUAUCAACAAACUCAAACGUAAAA
Molecule: non-coding RNA, 1210 nt
Filed under: Pongo abelii (Sumatran orangutan)
Lineage: Eukaryota; Metazoa; Chordata; Mammalia; Primates; Hominidae
Source: RNAcentral